This 387-nucleotide long non-coding RNA is filed under the name Vulpes vulpes (red fox). RNAcentral describes it as "lncRNA (ENSVVUG00000024758.1)". The record is from RNAcentral. Lineage: Eukaryota; Metazoa; Chordata; Mammalia; Carnivora; Canidae.
CUUUGAUCUUCCUGCAGUGGAUGAGAGCUGUUUGGGUUUUUAAGGCCCUCGCCAAUUAUAUGAAAUGGACGCAGAACUGGGUUUGAGGCUAGCCUUCUGGGUGGCUCCAAGGUCCCUCAACGGUUUUUAUUCUUUCUCCUCCCAUCUCCCCCACAUCCCCAGUGCUGAAAGAACUGAGGAAAAGGAAGCAGCAGGCAGUGCUGAAAGAAAAAUGAGCUUCCUGAGCCCAUGGUCCAGGAGGUCAGCAGUGUAUCUCUCACCUUUGAGCAGCUUCAGAAUGGCAUCCCAACAGAGCCCUGUCACUGAGCCACUUCUCUCUGAGAUUUAAGAUCAAAAGAGUCAAGUAUCCAGGUCCCUGCAGAUUUAAGCACCAACCUCUCAGCAAAU